UACAGAGGUCUCAAGCGUUGUUCGGAUUCAUUGGGCGUAAAGGGUGCGUAGGCGGCGCGGUAAGUCGGGUGUGAAAUCUCGGAGCUUAACUCCGAAACUGCAUUCGAUACUGCCGUGCUUGAGGACUGGAGAGGAGACUGGAAUUUACGGUGUAGCGGUGAAAUGCGUAGAUAUCGUAAGGAAGACCAGUGGCGAAGGCGACAUCCUGGACCGGUAUUGACGCUGAGGCGCGAAAGCCAGGGGAGCAAACGGG
RNAcentral lists this ribosomal RNA (253 nucleotides) under uncultured bacterium. RNAcentral's name for it is "partial 16S ribosomal RNA". It matches the Rfam family "Bacterial small subunit ribosomal RNA", at positions 524 to 776 of the family's 1533-position model. The record is from RNAcentral.